This is a non-coding RNA of Dentipellis sp. KUC8613, 92 nucleotides long. The record is from the annotation of a GenBank genome assembly. Lineage: Eukaryota; Fungi; Basidiomycota; Agaricomycetes; Russulales; Hericiaceae.
GCCGGGAUAGCUCAGCUGGGAGAGCAACAGACUGAAGUGAGUAAUCAUGAAUGGUUUUCUGGAGGUCCCGUGUUCAAUCCACGGUCCUGGCA